This 497-nucleotide ribosomal RNA is filed under the name uncultured bacterium. RNAcentral describes it as "partial 16S ribosomal RNA". It matches the Rfam family "Bacterial small subunit ribosomal RNA", at positions 28 to 507 of the family's 1533-position model. The record is from RNAcentral.
GAUGAACGCUGGCGGCGUGCCUAAUACAUGCAAGUCGAGCGAACGGACGAGAAGCUUGCUUCUCUGGUGUUAGCGGCGGACGGGUGAGUGACACGUGGAUAACCUACCUAUAAGACUGGGAUAACUUCGGGAAACCGGAGCUAAUACCGGAUGAUAUUUUGAACCGCAUGGUUCAAAAGUGAAAGACGGUCUUGCUGUCACUUAUAGAUGGAUCCGCGCUGCAUUAGCUAGUUGGUAAGGUAACGGCUUACCAAGGCAACGAUGCAUAGCCGACCUGAGAGGGUGAUCGGCCACACUGGAACUGAGACACGGUCCAGACUCCUACGGGAGGCAGCAGUAGGGAAUCUUCCGCAAUGGGCGAAAGCCUGACGGAGCAACGCCGCGUGAGUGAUGAAGGUCUUCGGAUCGUAAAACUCUGUUAUUAGGGAAGAACAUAUGUGUAAGUAACUGUGCACAUCUUGACGGUACCUAAUCAGAAAGCCACGGCUAACUACGUG